This 250-nucleotide ribosomal RNA is filed under the name uncultured bacterium. Its description in RNAcentral is "partial 16S ribosomal RNA". It matches the Rfam family "Bacterial small subunit ribosomal RNA", at positions 524 to 774 of the family's 1533-position model. The record is from RNAcentral.
UACGUAGGGGGCGAGCGUUAUCCGGAUUUAUUGGGCGUAAAGCGUGUGUAGGCGGUUUAUUAAGUCUAAGAUGAAAGACCGAGGCUUAACUUCGGUUUGUUUUAGAAACUGGUAGACUCGAGUGUGGUAGAGGCAAGUGGAAUUUCUAGUGUAGCGGUUAAAUGCGUAGAUAUUAGAAAGAACACCAGUGGCGAAAGCGGCUUGCUGGGCCAUUACUGACGCUGAGACACGAAAGCGUGGGGAGCAAAUA